GACGUAGGGUGCGAGCGUUGUCCGGAUUUAUUGGGCGUAAAGAGCUCGUAGGCGGUUUGCCGCGUCUGCCGUGAAAGUCCGGGGCUCAACUCCGGAUCUGCGGUGGGUACGGGCAGACUAGAGUGAUGUAGGGGAGACUGGAAUUCCUGGUGUAGCGGUGAAAUGCGCAGAUAUCAGGAGGAACACCGGUGGCGAAGGCGGGUCUCUGGGCCGAUACUGACGCUGAGGAGCGAAAGCGUGGGGAGCGAACAGG
This 253-nucleotide ribosomal RNA is filed under the name uncultured bacterium. RNAcentral describes it as "partial 16S ribosomal RNA". It matches the Rfam family "Bacterial small subunit ribosomal RNA", at positions 524 to 776 of the family's 1533-position model. The record is from RNAcentral.